AGAGUUUGAUCCUGGCUCAGAUUGAACGCUGGCGGCAUGCUUAAUACAUGCAAGUCGAACGGUAACAUGCCCUCCGGGGUGAUGACGAGUGGCGGACGGGUGAGUAACGCAUAGGAAUCUACCUAGUAGUGGGGGACAACUUGGGGAAACUCAAGCUAAUACCGCAUACAUCCUACGGGAAAAAGAGGGCCUCUUCUUGAAAGCUCUUGCUAUUAGAUGAGCCUAUGUCAGAUUAGCUUGUUGGUGGGGUAACGGCCUACCAAGGCGACGAUCUGUAGCUGGUCUGAGAGGAUGAUCAGCCACACUGGGACUGAGACACGGCCCAGACUCCUACGGGAGGCAGCAGUAGGGAAUAUUGGACAAUGGGCGCAAGCCUGAUCCAGCAAUGCCGCGUGUGUGAAGAAGGCCUGCGGGUUGUAAAGCACUUUCAAUUAGGAAGAAAAGCUCAAGGUUAAUAACCUUGAGUCUUGACAUUAUCAAUAGAAGAAGCACCGGCUAACUCUGUGCCAGCAGCCCCGGUAAUACCGAGGGU
Molecule: ribosomal RNA, 532 nt
Filed under: uncultured bacterium
Lineage: Bacteria
Description: bacterial SSU rRNA
Rfam family: Bacterial small subunit ribosomal RNA
Source: RNAcentral